This 584-nucleotide ribosomal RNA is filed under the name uncultured bacterium. Its description in RNAcentral is "partial 16S ribosomal RNA". It matches the Rfam family "Bacterial small subunit ribosomal RNA", at positions 355 to 932 of the family's 1533-position model. The record is from RNAcentral.
UGGGGAAUUUUGGACAAUGGGCGAAAGCCUGAUCCAGCAAUGCCGCGUGUGUGAAGAAGGCCUUCGGGUUGUAAAGCACUUUUGUCCGGAAAGAAAUCCUUGGCUCUAAUACAGUCGGGGGAUGACGGUACCGGAAGAAUAAGCACCGGCUAACUACGUGCCAGCAGCCGCGGUAAUACGUAGGGUGCAAGCGUUAAUCGGAAUUACUGGGCGUAAAGCGUGCGCAGGCGGUUUGCUAAGACCGAUGUGAAAUCCCCGGGCUCAACCUGGGAACUGCAUUGGUGACUGGCAGGCUAGAGUAUGGCAGAGGGGGGUAGAAUUCCACGUGUAGCAGUGAAAUGCGUAGAGAUGUGGAGGAAUACCGAUGGCGAAGGCAGCCCCUGGGCCAAUACUGACGCUCAUGCACGAAAGCGUGGGGAGCAAACAGGAUUAGAUACCCUGGUAGUCCACGCCCUAAAACGAUGUCAACUAGUUGUUGGGGAUUCAUUUCCUUAGUAACGUAGCUAACGCGUGAAGUUGACCGCCUGGGGAGUACGGUCGCAAGAUUAAAACUCAAAUGAAUUGACGGGGUCAUAGCUGAUUCC